This 293-nucleotide ribosomal RNA is filed under the name uncultured delta proteobacterium. RNAcentral's name for it is "partial 16S ribosomal RNA". It matches the Rfam family "Bacterial small subunit ribosomal RNA", at positions 95 to 369 of the family's 1533-position model. The record is from RNAcentral. Lineage: Bacteria; Deltaproteobacteria.
GUGGCGCACGGGUGNAGUAAGGACGUGGGUAAUGUUUCCUCGGGCGGGGNUUAACCUUCCGCCCGGAGGGCUAGAUACCGCAUAAGACCACGGCCUCGAAAGAGGCUGAGGUCAAAGCAGGCCUCUUCANGAAAGCUUGCACCUGAGGACCAGCCCGCGGCCCAUCAGCUUGUUGGCAGGGUAACGGCCUACCAAGGCUAAGACGGGUAGCUGGUCUGAGAGGAUGAUCAGCCACACUGGAACUGAGACACGGUCCAGACUCCUACGGGAGGUAGCAGUGGGGAAUCUUGCGC